Molecule: ribosomal RNA, 416 nt
Filed under: Clostridioides difficile
Lineage: Bacteria; Bacillati; Bacillota; Clostridia; Peptostreptococcales; Peptostreptococcaceae
Description: bacterial SSU rRNA
Rfam family: Bacterial small subunit ribosomal RNA
Source: RNAcentral
UUUUAUUUGAGAGUUUGAUCCUGGCUCAGGAUGAACGCUGGCGGCGUGCCUAACACAUGCAAGUUGAGCGAUUUACUUCGGUAAAGAGCGGCGGACGGGUGAGUAACGCGUGGGUAACCUACCCUGUACACACGGAUAACAUACCGAAAGGUAUGCUAAUACGGGAUAAUAUAUUUGAGAGGCAUCUCUUGAAUAUCAAAGGUGAGCCAGUACAGGAUGGACCCGCGUCUGAUUAGCUAGUUGGUAAGGUAACGGCUUACCAAGGCGACGAUCAGUAGCCGACCUGCGAGGGUGAUCGGCCACAUUGGAACUGAGACACGGUCCAAACUCCUACGGGAGGCAGCAGUGGGGAAUAUUGCACAAUGGGCGAAAGCCUGAUGCAGCAACGCCGCGUGAGUGAUGAAGGCCUUCGCGUC